Molecule: ribosomal RNA, 468 nt
Filed under: uncultured bacterium
Lineage: Bacteria
Description: partial 16S ribosomal RNA
Rfam family: Bacterial small subunit ribosomal RNA
Source: RNAcentral
GACGAACGCUGGCGGCGUGCUUAACACAUGCAAGUCGAACGGAAAGGCCCUGCUUUUGUGGGGUGCUCGAGUGGCGAACGGGUGAGUAACACGUGAGUAACCUGCCCUUGACUUUGGGAUAACUUCAGGAAACUGGGGCUAAUACCGGAUAGGAGCUCCUGCUGCAUGGUGGGGGUUGGAAAGUUUCGGCGGUUGGGGAUGGACUCGCGGCUUAUCAGCUUGUUGGUGGGGUAGUGGCUUACCGAGGCUUUGACGGGUAGCCGGCCUGAGAGGGUGACCGGCCACAUUGGGACUGAGAUACGGCCCAGACUCCUACGGGAGGCAGCAGUGGGGAAUAUUGCACAAUGGGCGGAAGCCUGAUGCAGCAACGCCGCGUGCGGGAUGACGGCCUUCGGGUUGUAGACCGCUUUCGCCUGUGACGAAGCGUGAGUGGCGGUAAUGGGUAAAGAAGCACCGGCUAACUACGUG